UGCGUAGGCGGGCUAAUAAGUCAGUGGUGAAAUCUCUCGGCUCAACCGGGAAACUGCCAUUGAUACUGUUAGUCUCGAGUUCGGUUGAGGUAGGCGGAAUGUGUAAUGUAGCGGUGAAAUGCUUAGAUAUUACACAGAACACCAAUUGCGUAGGCAGCUUACUAGACCGACACUGACGCUGAGGCACGAAAGCGUGGGGAGCGAACAGGAUUAGAUACCCUGGUAGUCC
Molecule: ribosomal RNA, 229 nt
Filed under: uncultured bacterium
Lineage: Bacteria
Description: partial 16S ribosomal RNA
Rfam family: Bacterial small subunit ribosomal RNA
Source: RNAcentral